AAACAUAUUCAUAGAAGGUUCCAUUUUAUUCGUGAGUGUGUUGAGAAUGAUCUAGUGGAAGUCAAGCAUGUUCCUGGGAGUGAACAACGAGCAGACAUAUUGACAAAGUCUCUUGGAAGAAUCAAGUUUGCUGAGAUGAGGAAGAUGAUUGGUGUUCAAAUGGUGAGUGAAGAUAACUUCAAGUUUAAGGGGGAGAAUGUUGGGAUAAACUUGAAGUUAGCUUGAGUUGCAAGCUAUCCUAAUCACAUAAGGAUAUGAUUUACUAAAGUGAUUAGGAAAUAUAUGAUUUGUGUUUAUCUUAUAGGAGUAGGAGUUUCCUAAGUUCUAUAUAAGAGGAUACCGAUAUGUGGUUAAUACCUAUGAGUUUAUGAGUGAUUGUGAUUGAAGAUUUUGAGUGAGUUUUAUCCUUUGAGUGAUUAAUAAGAAUCUGAUACUUAUUAAACGUGUUCUUGAGUCUGUGAUCUUGCAAAACCCUGAGACAAUACUCACCGCAAUUGGCGAACCUACAUUGCUCAAGAAGGUGGCAAGUGCCCCCACAAAAUUUUCAAAGUUUGUUAAAUAUGUUUAAACUUUGAUUAUUUUUUUUAGUAAAUAACAUUUUUAUCUAUACUUUUUAAGUUUAUGUUAGAUUUGACCCCACAAGAAAAUAAUUCUACAUUCGCCACUGCUUACUGCCAUAAACAAACAGAUAUUGUAAAGAAACUCAUUAAUCAAAUCUUUAUCUUUUAAGAUCAAUGUCUUGCAAGUAAAAUGUAUAUCAUCAACCCGGUAGAUAUUUUUCCAAUAGAGCUAAAACACCACUAAAUCCACCAGUAUAACCAUAAUUUAUAUUAUCGUAACCUACAAGCUCCGAACUUUAUAUUAUUUAGUUUUCUUCAUUUUUGAAUUUUUUUCUUGACUUGUCCAGAGAGGGUGGCAACAUUAUCUCCUAGACUUGUAUUUAGAGCUCCAAGCAUUUAAUGCACCGUUGUCGCUCCGUUCUCCAUUAGCUCCUACCUCUUUAACUAAAUGUAUCUGUUAUCACCAUUUUUUGAUAUCGCUGGUCCGAUGGUGUCUGCACCAUAGCUGUUAUAUUGUAGUUUGCAAGAGUCCAUGCCCAGCUACUGUAUUGAAACAAUAACAUUGCUUUCUUCGCCGGAAGUCCCGCUUCAGUCCACUUCGUCACGCCCGAGUCUCCGCUUGAUCUUCUUAAUCAUAAAGCGGUUUAAAGGGGAAAAAUGAUAUGCAUGAUGGAAAUGUUAUCAUAUUAAAUUCUUUAUACGGGAUGCGCAAUCUAUAACUAUAAAGUUGAAGUAUCUGCCUUUUUAGGUAAAGCUCUCUAGGUCUAGAUUCGUAUCAGCCCAAACUAAGCCUUUUAUUAAAUCUCCGUCUUCUUAGUGUUGCCGUCUCUUCCGUUUCACCUUACCAGAAACAAAACGUUUCCAUUAGCGUUUAUGGUAUAAAGCUUAAUACAAACAACGACGCUCUUUUCACCACCUUAUUCCAUCUGCGCCACCGCCCUGCAGUCUCUGAUCUAGCCGCAAAUGUCAAGCCUACCAUCGCUCUCUCUCUCAGGCUUCGAGCCCUUUCAGUAUUAAAGCCAGAGACUCUCACUUCCAUUCUAGACCCUCUCAGUCAGAGCCUCGAUAGGUUCUCUCUUGCCGGAUUCGCGGUUCAAGAUUACGCUGAUUCGUAUGAGAGUAACGAAUGGUAGCAGCAACGGACGUGAUGGGUUAUCAGUAUCUGAGCUUCUGAUGUCUCCGGAGAUUUUCAAAGCUGUGAAUAAUGGAGGAAUUCAGAAACUCUUUCCUAUUCAUUUGUGCUUGAGCCAGGAUGCAAGGUGUGCUAGGAAAUGAACUAGAAAGAUUCUUGCUUUUGGAAUUCCCAUCAUUGACAGAAUCAUAAAAUUCAACUCUAAACACAGUCUCUCUCUGUGUAUGCGAAACUAUAAUGAAGUCUACAAGGCACAGUGAGACACAUGAUUCACUCUCCUCUGUGCCAAACUAUAUCCAGAUGUUCUAGAACUAUUCAGUUCCAUGAAACUAUGAAGAAGUCUACAAGGCACAGUUGAUUUGCUGUAGAGAAGCCUUUGACUACUUUGUAGCUCCACUCCUUUCCAGUAACAAGUAGUGUUUCGUCUGUGCAAACGGGCUCACGUUGAUUGCAUUAUUGGAUAUAUGUAAACAUGAGCUGAAGUUAAGGCAGGGAAGCCACUUAAAGUUAAACCUGAUGAAGACUGUCUCAUCCACCUUUCACAGGCAUGUAUUGGUAAUAGGAAGAAGGGUGAAACUGUUCUCAUGUAUGUGACUGUUAAUGGGAAGAAGCUUGUGAUUAGAACUCUUUCUCAGGAGGAGAAGAUUCCUUAGGUCAGCUUCGAUCUGGUCUUUGAGAAGGAGUUUGAACUCUCCCACUCCUUGGUGAGAGGAAGUAUCUACUUCAUUGGCUACAAAACGCCCGACCUCGAUGAAUAGGUGGAUUCCUCUUCUUCUGAGGAUUACUCUUCUUCUGACUCAGAAGAAGAGGAGGAAGUGGAGGUCCCUUCAACUGCACUGCCAAUGUAAGUGCUGGAGCUGCUGCUUCGAGUGUUGUCAAGUCUGACUCAAAGCCAAAGGUAAAAUGAGAAAGUAGUGAGCUUUGCAUUUCGUAACGAUCAACGUUGAAUGCCGCCUCUGUAAUGUAUAAAGCUAUCAUUCAAGCAGCCUAAUUAAGAAUCUGAAAAUGCUUCUAGGAUUUAAUAUCUCUUUGAGAGACGGCUUAGCUUUUUAAGAUUUUGGUAUAAGAAAGAACAAAUAAGCAAAGAUUUUUUUGUUAUUGUGAUUUCAGCCCAUGGCUCGGCUCGGUCAAAGUGUACCGGUUUAUGUUUGUUGUAAUUUGAACAUUUGUUCAGCAUAGGAAGUUUACCAUAUUCUGUUAUACAAAUAUAAUUUUUUUGGGAGUUACUCAGUUAAGAAAAAUAUUAAAAAAAUGAAAAUUAUAAUAAUAUUUUUGUUCCUUUUUUUGAACAGCAUUUUUGUUCCUACUAUUGUAUUAUUUAUUGUUAUAUUAAUGAUGAUUUAUGAGUUAUUAAAAUAUUUUUAAAAAUUUACCAAAAAUAUAAAUCAACAUUAAAUAUAAAUAUACAUGCCACAACUAAAUUUAAAUCAUGUCAUCAUAGUUAAAAUAACAUGUCAGCAUUUUCUUUUCCGAAAUCAAUAUAGUAAUGACACAUAGCAAAUCAGUUCUCAAAUAAUAUUUUGGAGAUUUAAUCCGUAAAAUGUGCUAUUUAAAGGUUACCGGUUUUCUCAGUAAAUCAUCCCAAGACUCUCUUCAUUUCAUCUGGAUAUUGGACAAGAAACAUACCAAAUGCUGAAAUCGAUGUUGCAAAAUACUAAUAUUAUCUAGGAUAUUUUGUUCUAAAUUUCUUUCUCGCAUGGCAAAGAAAAUAAUGACAUGAUUCUUACAACUCAUCUCAUGACCAUUGUAUCUUCAAUCACUGUAUUUCAAUUGUUCCUAAUUCCACCACUUUCUGAAGAAAGAUAAAAACAAAUCGAUAUAGAUACUAAUUAUAUAAUGAAAAUCCAAGGAUCAAUGCAAAAGAGAACCUAAUUUUCAAUAGCGUAAGUAAAAAUUUAUUGUUAGUA
Molecule: long non-coding RNA, 3599 nt
Organism: Brassica napus (rape)
Lineage: Eukaryota; Viridiplantae; Streptophyta; Magnoliopsida; Brassicales; Brassicaceae
Exons: 4
Source: RefSeq, a predicted model, not a curated record